ACGGUCUGCAGUGGAAGGGAUCGUGUCGUUGUCGGUAUUUUUAGGAGUGUCGGAAGCGACGACCAAGCAGUGUCGGUGUCGUGUUGCUUUAGCCGACGAAGCAAGUAUCAGAGCCGGCGGUAGCUAGUGGCAGAGCCAGCAUCGGAAGGAUCGUCGGUUGCAGCCACAUCUGCAGGAUCCGUGCAACAGGUGCACAAUGCUGACGAUCUUCGAGCGUCGCUGGCGGGGUGGUGCCACACCGAAGACGGCGCCCCCCGCGCGGCACGCCAACUCACUACACCCCGCCCCGCCGCCGCCCCGCGCCAUCACUGAACGCACCGAGCACGCAGUCAGUGACGUCACACCGCCCAGCUGGAGCGACGGUGACGUCACUGGAGACGACUGGACUGUGGAUGACGUCACUGGCUACCUGCGCCACCCGCGGUACUGGAGACGGCCGACCAAAUCCGAAGAGGCGUCAGUGGGAGCGGUAGCUACGUAUUGGACCGCCACCG
Long non-coding RNA from Amphibalanus amphitrite, 494 nucleotides. RefSeq lists it as uncharacterized. The transcript has 3 exons. The record is from RefSeq and is a predicted model, not a curated record. NCBI's taxonomy places the organism in Eukaryota, Metazoa, Arthropoda, Thecostraca, Balanomorpha, Balanidae.